CCACCCGUGUUUAUUUACCUCGUUGCUUCGGCGGGCCCGCCUUAACUGGCCGCCGGGGGGCUCACGCCCCCGGGCCCGCGCCCGCCGAAGACACCCCCGAACUCUGCCUGAAGAUUGUCGUCUGAGUGAAAAUAUAAAUUAUUUAAAACUUUCAACAACGGAUCUCUUGGUUCCGGCAUCGAUGAAGAACGCAGCGAAAUGCGAUACGUAAUGUGAAUUGCAAAUUCAGUGAAUCAUCGAGUCUUUGAACGCACAUUGCGCCCCCUGGUAUUCCGGGGGGCAUGCCUGUCCGAGCGUCAUUGCUGCCCUCAAGCCCGGCUUGUGUGUUGGGCCCCGUCCUCCGAUUCCGGGGGACGGGCCCGAAAGGCAGCGGCGGCACCGCGUCCGGUCCUCGAGCGUAUGGGGCUUUGUCACCCGCUCUGUAGGCCCGGCCGGCGCUUGCCGAUCAACCCAAAUUUUUAUCCAGGUUGACCUCGGAUCAGGUAGGGAUACCCGCUGAACUUAAGCAUAUC
This 512-nucleotide ribosomal RNA is filed under the name Penicillium expansum. Its description in RNAcentral is "eukaryotic LSU rRNA". The stretch from base 147 to 299 matches the Rfam family "5.8S ribosomal RNA". Lineage: Eukaryota; Fungi; Ascomycota; Eurotiomycetes; Eurotiales; Aspergillaceae. The record is from RNAcentral.